UACAGAGGGUGCAAGCGUUAAUCGGAAUUACUGGGCGUAAAGCGUGCGUAGACGGUUACAUAAGUCGGGUGUGAAAGCCCCGGGCUCAACCCUGGGAAUUGCAUUCGAGACUGCGUAGCUAGGGUGCGGAAGAGGGAAGCGGAAUUUCCGGUGUAGCGGUGAAAUGCGUAGAUAUCGGAAGGAACACCGGUGGCGAAAGCGGCGCGCUGGAUCCCUACUGACGCUGAGGCACGAAAGCGUGGGGAGCAAACAGG
This 254-nucleotide ribosomal RNA is filed under the name uncultured bacterium. Its description in RNAcentral is "partial 16S ribosomal RNA". It matches the Rfam family "Bacterial small subunit ribosomal RNA", at positions 524 to 776 of the family's 1533-position model. The record is from RNAcentral.